GACGAACGCUGGCGGCGUGCCUAAUACAUGCAAGUUGAGCGCUGAAGGUUGGUACUUGUACCAACUGGAUGAGCAGCGAACGGGUGAGUAACGCGUGAGGAAUCUGCCUUUGAGCGGGGGACAACAUUUGGAAACGAAUGCUAAUACCGCAUAAAAACUUUAAACACAAGUUUUAAGUUUGAAAGAUGCAAUUGCAUCACUCAAAGAUGAUCCCGCGUUGUAUUAGCUAGUUGGUGAGGUAAAGGCUCACCAAGGCGAUGAUACAUAGCCGACCUGAGAGGGUGAUCGGCCACAUUGGGACUGAGACACGGCCCAAACUCCUACGGGAGGCAGCAGUAGGGAAUCUUCGGCAAUGGACGAAAGUCUGACCGAGCAACGCCGCGUGAGUGAAGAAGUUUUUCGGAUCGUAAAACUCUGUUGGUAGAGAAGAACGUUGGUGAGAGUGGAAAGCUCAUCAAGUGACGGUAACUACCCAGAAAGGGACGGCUAACUACGUG
This 497-nucleotide ribosomal RNA is filed under the name uncultured bacterium. Its description in RNAcentral is "partial 16S ribosomal RNA". It matches the Rfam family "Bacterial small subunit ribosomal RNA", at positions 28 to 507 of the family's 1533-position model. The record is from RNAcentral.